GGAGUACUCCAAUCCAAAAGUUGCAAAAAUACGAGGGGCUUGAAAGGUCAUCUUAUCAUACCAGUGAGCGCCCUUCUCGUUGCCGUUUGUACAUCAAUGAGAAAAGCAAAGGACUGUACUAUGGUAUAUGUAGUGAAUGUACUAAACAGACUCCGAUAAAUGUAAUAAAGAUCAGAUGAGAACUGAAUUCCUUCCAAGUACUGCAACACACUUUAUUAUAACUUGAAUAUUACGAACCCGCUCUUAUUUGGUACUACCACUACAACUGUUUGAUGAUGUUCGACAUUAUGCCACAGAUGAGACAAAUGGUCAGAGAAAUAAUCGUGACAAAUCGACUGCAGCGCGGACUUGACGAGCGUCAAGUCUUUGUCUUUAGUUUUGUCUUAGUUACACAAUGUCCUUUUUAGUCACUCAAUGUACUGU
This is a long non-coding RNA of Hyposmocoma kahamanoa, 423 nucleotides long. RefSeq lists it as uncharacterized. The transcript is spliced from 3 exons. Lineage: Eukaryota; Metazoa; Arthropoda; Insecta; Lepidoptera; Cosmopterigidae. The record is from RefSeq and is a predicted model, not a curated record.